UGGCGCAGCAGGGGGAAGGUGAGAACCUUCGACCAAGGUUCGGGUCGAGCAUAGCGAGACAACGAUGCGCAGCAUCGGCCCGAGAUCCUGGCAUCAUUCUACAAUCUACAG
Molecule: small RNA, 111 nt
Filed under: Candidatus Sodalis endolongispinus
Lineage: Bacteria; Pseudomonadati; Pseudomonadota; Gammaproteobacteria; Enterobacterales; Bruguierivoracaceae
Description: RtT sRNA
Rfam family: RtT RNA
About the family: This family represents a bacterial cis-regulatory element known as RtT RNA. The exact function of RtT is unknown although it is thought that it may be involved in changing the cellular response in relation to amino acid starvation.
Source: RNAcentral